Molecule: ribosomal RNA, 1497 nt
Filed under: Desertifilum tharense IPPAS B-1220
Lineage: Bacteria; Bacillati; Cyanobacteriota; Cyanophyceae; Desertifilales; Desertifilaceae
Description: bacterial SSU rRNA
Rfam family: Bacterial small subunit ribosomal RNA
Source: RNAcentral
UCACGGAGAGUUUGAUCCUGGCUCAGGAUGAACGCUGGCGGUCUGCUUAACACAUGCAAGUCGAACGGUGUCUUCGGACACAGUGGCGGACGGGUGAGUAACGCGUGAGAAUCUACCUUCAGGUCGGGGAUAACCCCUGGAAACGGGGGCUAAUACCGGAUAGGUCGAAAGAUGAAAGGUUAACUGCCUGAAGAGGAGCUCGCGUCUGAUUAGCUAGUAGGUGUGGUAAGAGCGCACCUAGGCGACGAUCAGUAGCUGGUCUGAGAGGAUGAGCAGCCACACUGGGACUGAGACACGGCCCAGACUCCUACGGGAGGCAGCAGUGGGGAAUUUUCCGCAAUGGGCGAAAGCCUGACGGAGCAAGACCGCGUGGGGGAGGAAGGCCUUUGGGUUGUAAACCCCUUUUGUUAGGGAAGAAAAAAAUGACGGUACCUAACGAAUCAGCCUCGGCUAACUCCGUGCCAGCAGCCGCGGUAAUACGGAGGAGGCAAGCGUUAUCCGGAAUUAUUGGGCGUAAAGCGUCCGUAGGUGGCCCGGCAAGUCUGCUGUCAAAGACCACAGCUCAACUGUGGAAAGGCAGUGGAAACUGCAAGGCUAGAGUGCGGUAGGGGUAGAGGGAAUUCCCAGUGUAGCGGUGAAAUGCGUAGAGAUUGGGAAGAACACCGGUGGCGAAAGCGCUCUACUGGGCCGCAACUGACACUGAUGGACGAAAGCUAGGGGAGCGAAUGGGAUUAGAUACCCCAGUAGUCCUAGCUGUAAACGAUGGAAACUAGGUGUAGCACGUAUCGACCCGUGCUGUAUCGGAGCUAACGCGUUAAGUUUCCCGCCUGGGGAGUACGCACGCAAGUGUGAAACUCAAAGGAAUUGACGGGGGCCCGCACAAGCGGUGGAGUAUGUGGUUUAAUUCGAUGCAACGCGAAGAACCUUACCAGGGCUUGACAUGUCCGGAACCUCUGUGAAAGCAGAGGGUGCCUUCGGGAGCCGGAACACAGGUGGUGCAUGGCUGUCGUCAGCUCGUGUCGUGAGAUGUUGGGUUAAGUCCCGCAACGAGCGCAACCCUCGUCCUUAGUUGCCAGCAUUUUGGAUGGGCACUCUAGGGAGACUGCCGGUGACAAACCGGAGGAAGGUGGGGAUGACGUCAAGUCAGCAUGCCCCUUACGUCCUGGGCGACACACGUACUACAAUGCUGUGGACAAAGAGCAGCCAACCCGCGAGGGCGAGCUAAUCUCAUAAACCACGGCUCAGUUCAGAUCGCAGGCUGCAACUCGCCUGCGUGAAGGCGGAAUCGCUAGUAAUCGCCGGUCAGCAUACGGCGGUGAAUCCGUUCCCGGGCCUUGUACACACCGCCCGUCACACCAUGGGAGCUGGCCACGCCCGAAGUCGUUACUCCAACCGUUCGCGGAGGAGGACGCCGAAGGCAGGGCUGGUGACUGGGGUGAAGUCGUAACAAGGUAGCCGUACCGGAAGGUGUGGCUGGAUCACCUCCUUUAUAGGGAG